This 429-nucleotide ribosomal RNA is filed under the name Bacteroidota bacterium. RNAcentral describes it as "Bacteroidetes bacterium partial 16S ribosomal RNA". It matches the Rfam family "Bacterial small subunit ribosomal RNA", at positions 355 to 776 of the family's 1533-position model. Lineage: Bacteria; Pseudomonadati; Bacteroidota. The record is from RNAcentral.
UAGGGAAUCUUCGGCAAUGGGGGGAACCCUGACCGAGCAACGCCGCGUGAGUGAAGAAGGUCUUCGGAUCGUAAAGCUCUGUUGUUAAGGAAGAACGAGUGCGAGAAUGGAAAGUUCAUGCUGUGACGGUACUUAACCAGAAAGGGACGGCUAACUACGUGCCAGCAGCCGCGGUAAUACGUAGGUCCCGAGCGUUGUCCGGAUUUAUUGGGCGUAAAGCGAGCGCAGGCGGUUAGAAAAGUCUGAAGUGAAAGGCGGUGGCUCAACCAUUGUAGGCUUUGGAAACUGUUUAACUUGAGUGCAGAAGGGGAGGGUGGAAUUCCAUGUGUAGCGGUGAAAUGCGUAGAUAUAUGGAGGAACACCGGUGGCGAAGGCGGCUCUCUGGUCUGUAACUGACGCUGAGGCUCGAAGGCGUGGGGAGCGAACAGG